Molecule: ribosomal RNA, 575 nt
Filed under: uncultured bacterium
Lineage: Bacteria
Description: bacterial SSU rRNA
Rfam family: Bacterial small subunit ribosomal RNA
Source: RNAcentral
CCUACGGGAGGCAGCAGUGGGGAAUCUUGCGCAAUGGGCGAAAGCCUGACGCAGCCAUGCCGCGUGAAUGAUGAAGGUCUUAGGAUUGUAAAAUUCUUUCACCGGGGACGAUAAUGACGGUACCCGGAGAAGAAGCCCCGGCUAACUUCGUGCCAGCAGCCGCGGUAAUACGAAGGGGGCUAGCGUUGCUCGGAAUUACUGGGCGUAAAGGGAGCGUAGGCGGAUAGUUUAGUCAGAGGUGAAAGCCCAGGGCUCAACCUUGGAAUUGCCUUUGAUACUGGCUAUCUUGAGUAUGGGAGAGGUUAGCGGAACUCCGAGUGUAGAGGUGAAAUUCGUAGAUAUUCGGAAGAAACACCAGUGGCGAAGGCGGCUAACUGGCCCAUUACUGACGCUGAGGCUCGAAAAGCGUGGGGAGCAAAACAGGAUUAGAUACCCUGGUAGUCCACGCCGUAAAACGAAUGAGUGCUAGUUGUCGGCAUGCAUGCAUGUCGGUGACGCAGCUAAACGCAUUAAAGCACUCCGCCUGGGGAGUACGGUCGCAAAGAUUAAAAACUAACAAAAUAGAAAUUGACGGG